Molecule: ribosomal RNA, 493 nt
Filed under: uncultured bacterium
Lineage: Bacteria
Description: partial 16S ribosomal RNA
Rfam family: Bacterial small subunit ribosomal RNA
Source: RNAcentral
AUUGAACGCUGGCGGCAUGCUUUACACAUGCAAGUCGAACGGUAACAGGUUAAGCUGACGAGUGGCGAACGGGUGAGUAAUGCAUCGGAACGUGCCCGGUCGUGGGGGAUAACGCAGCGAAAGCUGCGCUAAUACCGCAUACGAUCUGAGGAUGAAAGCGGGGGACCGUAAGGCCUCGCGCGAUCGGAGCGGCCGAUGUCAGAUUAGGUAGUUGGUGGGGUAAAGGCCUACCAAGCCGACGAUCUGUAGCUGGUCUGAGAGGACGACCAGCCACACUGGGACUGAGAAACGGCCCAGACGCCUACGGGAGGCAGCAGUGGGGAAUUUUGGACAAUGGGUGCAAGCCUGAUCCAGCAAUGCCGCGUGCAGGAAGAAGGCCUUCGGGUUGUAAACUGCUUUUGUACGGAGCGAAAAGGCUCUCUCUAAUACAGGGGGCUCAUGACGGUACCGUAAGAAUAAGCACCGGCUAACUACGUGCCAGCAGCCGCAGUAA